Long non-coding RNA from Onychostoma macrolepis, 1452 nucleotides. RefSeq lists it as uncharacterized. The transcript has 3 exons. Lineage: Eukaryota; Metazoa; Chordata; Actinopteri; Cypriniformes; Cyprinidae. The record is from RefSeq and is a predicted model, not a curated record.
CUUGGGUGUGAAAUGACUGUCAAGUAAAUAUACAGUAGGAAGUCGACUCAAGCUGGCUCAUUGUUAUUGGCCGACCGGCGGCACAUUGACAAAGCUGCCUGGAGACAUGGCAAACAGUGACCUCACUUCUUUUCUCACUUAGAUCAAGUUAAGAAACUCAGCGGUGGAGUACAUUAGGUCACAGUGGGAAAAAGUCAAAACAAAAUCUUUCUUUUAUAUGCUGUCUUGUUGAUUAAACUGAACUGUAUUGAAUUGAAGAGUUCGGGAGCUCUAGAAAGCUGCAGACCCUCAGCCAGCACCUUAAAGUUUCUCGUCCUCAGGCCACUGGGAAACACACUGCUGGUGCUGCAGAAAACACAGAGAACGUGGCACUGGGCCCUUCCACUGACUCAGUGCCUCAGCAGUCCAUGUGGCUGUCAUUAGAGAGACAGAAAGAAAAAGAGAGAGCCUUUUGCAAUACUCCAAGCUCCUUUUUGUGUGUUUCUUCAACACGUAAAUCAAACGAAGCAGGAGAUGUUUUGCUGAUUUUGCGUAUCUGAGUUUUGAGGGCAGUAAUGGACCUAUUAAAGCCACAAUAUGUGGAGUAGACUGAAAAGUGAUGACAAUUGUAUUUAUUUAUUUAUUUUUGUGCAUAAAAACUGCAUAUUUAGAAUGAUUUCUGAAGGAUCAUGUGACACCGAACACUGGAGUAAUGAGGCUGAAAAUUCAGCGUUGCCAUCUAAGAGAAAUAAAUUAAAUAUAGGCCUACAUUUAAAAAAAUAAAAAUUAAAUAUAAAAUAAAAAUAAAAGUAUUUUAAAUUGCAAUAAUAUUUCUCAGUAUUGCUGUUUUACUGUAUUUUUGAUGAAAUAAAUGCAGCCUUGGUGAGCAUAAGAGACUUCUUUUAAAAACAUUAAAAAAAAAAUCUUUUCAAUCUCAAACGUUUGAACAGUAGUGUAUUCCUCAGGCAAUGCAUCUGUGUUUUACACUGAUGAAUUCAUUCCUAACUUUAAUGUGUGUGGUGUGUAUGUGUCCAUGCUUGUGUGAGAGAGUGUGUUUUGCUCAGAAUCCCCUCCAGUGCCCAUUAUCCUCGCUUACCACCAAACCAGAUCAAAUUAUCCCAAUAACCCCUGCAAGCCACAAGAUAAGAGGAGAUACAGCGAUUGGGAGACUGUAGCUCUGAGCCAAAACACAGCCACAUAUGGAGAGACAAACUAAUCUACAUCUUGGAUGACCUAAGGAUCUUGCAUCUAAUCCACACCAUCUGAGAUAAAGAAAUCAAACAAUGUGCAAGUUUCACUCAGAAAUGAAGCUGAUUGCAAGAAGCAAAUCACACCAAUUGGUGAGGCCAGCCCAAGCUGAACACACCUAAUAUGAAGGCUUGUCACCUUAGCCAAAAUGGAAAGUCAAAGGUGGAGCGAAAUUAUUUUGAUAAAAGAUUAAAAAUAAUUGCUGCACAUUAGAUACCAAUAAAU